This 117-nucleotide ribosomal RNA is filed under the name Escherichia coli. RNAcentral's name for it is "partial 23S ribosomal RNA". The stretch from base 1 to 105 matches the Rfam family "Bacterial large subunit ribosomal RNA", at positions 2821 to 2925 of the family's 2925-position model. Lineage: Bacteria; Pseudomonadati; Pseudomonadota; Gammaproteobacteria; Enterobacterales; Enterobacteriaceae. RNAcentral also lists the same sequence under 2 other names. The record is from RNAcentral.
AGGGUCCUGAAGGAACGUUGAAGACGACGACGUUGAUAGGCCGGGUGUGUAAGCGCAGCGAUGCGUUGAGCUAACCGGUACUAAUGAACCGUGAGGCUUAACCUUACAACGCCGAAG